Molecule: non-coding RNA, 315 nt
Organism: Salvelinus sp. IW2-2015
Lineage: Eukaryota; Metazoa; Chordata; Actinopteri; Salmoniformes; Salmonidae
Source: RefSeq, a predicted model, not a curated record
GCACACCAGCAAGUGCCAGCAGCACCCUGGGUAGCCUGAUAACGAUGAGUACAUCCUCUCCUUUGAGACCAUCGACAAGAUGAGAACGAGUCUCCUCCUACUCCUCCCUCAAACUCCCUCAUAGGGGUGUCGUUCAACAGCGUUUACACACAGAUCUGGAGGGUUCUCCUGCACCUGGCGGCCGACCCGUUCCCAGAGGUGUCCGACCUGGCCAUGAAGGUCCUCAACAGCAUCGCCUACAAGGCCCUGUCUCUGUCUCUGUCUCCCCAGGCCACUAUGAACGCUCGGCCCCAGAGGAUCCUGGACUCUGGCUCU